AGCAUAUCACUAAGCGGAGGAAAAGAAACUAACUAGGAUUCCCCUAGUAACGGCGAGUGAACGGGGAUGAAGCCCAGCGCCGAAGCCUCCGUCCCUUCGCGGGGCGGCGUGCAAUGUGGCGUUUGGGGGGAGCCCCUCCGCCGGUUCGCGGGAGCCCAAGUCCCCCUGACCGGGGCCACUGCCCAUGGCGGGUGCUAGGCCCUUGCGGCUCUCCGCGGCCGGAGGAUGGCUCUUCUCCCGGGAGUCGGGUUGCUUGGGAGUGCAGCCCUAAGUGGGUGGUAAACUCCACCUAAGGCUAAAUACGGCCACGAGACCGAUAGC
Molecule: ribosomal RNA, 321 nt
Filed under: Craterostigmus tasmanianus
Lineage: Eukaryota; Metazoa; Arthropoda; Chilopoda; Craterostigmomorpha; Craterostigmidae
Description: eukaryotic LSU rRNA
Rfam family: Eukaryotic large subunit ribosomal RNA
Source: RNAcentral